GACGAACGCUGGCGGCGUGCUUAACACAUGCAAGUCGAACGGAAAGGCCCUGCUUGCCGGGUACUCGAGUGGCGAACGGGUGAGUAACACGUGGGUGAUCUGCCCUGCACUUCGGGAUAAGCUUGGGAAACUGGGUCUAAUACCGGAUAGGAGCCAUCUUUAGUGUGGUGGUUGGAAAGUUUUUUCGGUGUAGGAUGAGCUCGCGGCCUAUCAGCUUGUUGGUGGGGUAAUGGCCUACCAAGGCGGCGACGGGUAGCCGGCCUGAGAGGGUGUACGGCCACAGUGGGACUGAGAUACGGCCCAGACGCCUACGGGAGGCAGCAGUGGGGAAUAUUGCACAAUGGGCGCAAGCCGGAUGCAGCGACGCCGCGUGGGGGAUGAAGGCCUUCGGGUUGUAAACGCCUUUCGCUAGGGACGAAGCUUUUUGUGACGGUACCUAGAGAAGAAGCACCGGCUAACUACGUG
RNAcentral lists this ribosomal RNA (465 nucleotides) under uncultured bacterium. RNAcentral's name for it is "partial 16S ribosomal RNA". It matches the Rfam family "Bacterial small subunit ribosomal RNA", at positions 28 to 507 of the family's 1533-position model. The record is from RNAcentral.